AUGAGAUUUACAUGAAAAGAAGGAAUGAAUAUGACGUUUUGAAGGGAAAGAAUAUCUGAUACUGACUAUACCAGAUUGAUUGAUUACAGUUCAAGUAUUAUCAGAAAGUUUCAUAGUAGUUGUGGAAGCGGAAACCCGCACAAUCGGAAGUUAUAAGAAAAUAUCGGUGAUCCAGAUUCUACGAUAGCCAACAACAAGUAAUCAGGGACAAGAUAUGCGAUAAAAAUUAUUCUAAAAGUAAAAACAAAAACGAGAAAAGAACAAAUAUGCUCUUUAUUCCGAAUUUACGCAAAAGCGUUGAAAAAUGAAACAAUACAAGGGGAUAGUUUGAAAGAGAGAAUACAAUAGAACAGUAUGGAAAGGCAAUAAAGCUUCAAAUUUCCGUUAGAUUAACCACAUAAGCCUAAAGUUCAUAUGCAAUCGCAGCUCGUGUGUAAACAGUUGAUAAUUAUAAAGCCUAAGUUCUAAGUUGUAGAGAGUUCCAACAGCGAAAUUUAUGUUUCUAUUUCUCUGUCCUAGACUUGUUUAUAUACACCUCCAAGGUUGGCUAUCUUUCCAUUUUUCCGUAUAUCCCUAUUUGUCUUGUUUCCGUAGUUCCCCCGAUCUUUCCUAUUUUGAGAUUUUGAGUUUGUCUCUUAUUCUCCGAAUAGCAUUUUUUUUUAAUUUAUACAAAUUUAUCUUAGCUGAAACGUUGUUAAAUUCGGCACGACAUAUGCACAUUUAUUAACUCAAAAUUUUCGGCUUGUAAACUUUUAUGAAAAGGAACUUUUUCAUUGUUAGUUCGUAGUUUUGGCCAUUAAUCUUGAAUGACAAAAUUUGAUCCUAACAAUGAUAAGUUAAACUGAACAAAAAAAUAAGAAUUCAUAAUUCACGUUGUUAACAUAAUGUUUGUGUUCAAAAAUCAUCUCUUAUAUUAUGAGUAUUUAUAAUAUUUUUUAUAUUAUGAAUAUUUAAAAAAAUCAAUAACUAUUGGAGAUGAAAAUUUAUUUAUGAUAAACUUGAAAGAUUACCAAAAAAUAUUUUCAAAAGUCAAAUAUAUAUAGUCAAACAUUCUAAAUAUAUAGUCAAACAUUCUAAACAUAAUUGUAUUUCUAAAAUGGACCAUCUUGUAAUUCUAUAAAGCUCUUUUCCAGUGGCCUCCGGUUUUUCAAGUCUAUUAUUAUUCAAAGAAAAAAACAACCAAUGGCUAGAGCAGCUUUUUCACUUGUUCUCCCAAUCAUCUUCAUUGUCAUGUUUUGCUUAGUUGAUGAAAAUAUGGGAUGCGGUCAAUAUAUCGGUCCCUGCCCUGUUCGUGGAACUUGUGAUCAAGCAUGCAAAGCUCAAUUUGGACCAAAGGCAGAUGGCAUAUGUGACUUCACGGGUACUAAACGGUGUGCUUGCAAAUAUCCUUGUAUGACUGAUAAGACUCGGAUUUGAUUUCUAUUCUGAUUUGAAAUCCUAACUUCAUUCAAAAUGUAAGAAAAUAUCAUCAUUAAUAACAAUGCAAAAAAAUGCAACUGUUAUUGUU
Brassica napus (rape) is the source of this 1507-nucleotide long non-coding RNA. RefSeq lists it as uncharacterized. The transcript has 2 exons. The record is from RefSeq and is a predicted model, not a curated record. NCBI's taxonomy places the organism in Eukaryota, Viridiplantae, Streptophyta, Magnoliopsida, Brassicales, Brassicaceae.